Dalotia coriaria is the source of this 156-nucleotide long non-coding RNA. RefSeq lists it as uncharacterized. Lineage: Eukaryota; Metazoa; Arthropoda; Insecta; Coleoptera; Staphylinidae. The record is from RefSeq and is a predicted model, not a curated record. The transcript is spliced from 3 exons.
AGCAGCUGAACCCGUUGUCACAGCCUCUUCAUUUUGGCGUCAAAUUGUAGGCGUCUAGCAGCUGAACCCGUUGUCACAGCCUCUUCAUUUUGGCGUCAAAUUGUAGGCGUCUAGCAGCUGAACCCGUUGUCACAGCCUCUUCAUUUUGGCGUCAAA